This 327-nucleotide unclassified non-coding RNA is filed under the name soil metagenome. RNAcentral describes it as "partial contains 5.8S ribosomal RNA, internal transcribed spacer 2, and large subunit ribosomal RNA". The stretch from base 1 to 120 matches the Rfam family "5.8S ribosomal RNA", at positions 35 to 154 of the family's 154-position model. The record is from RNAcentral.
GAUGAAGAACGUAGCGAAAUGCGAUAAGUAAUGUGAAUUGCAGAAUUCAGUGAAUCAUCGAAUCUUUGAACGCACAUUGCGCCCCUUGGUAUUCCGGGGGGCAUGCCUGUUCGAGCGUCAUUAUCACCCCUCAAGCUCAGCUUGGUGUUGGGGCCUGCCGUCAAGGCAGUCCUUAAAAUCAGUGGCGGCGCCAUCUGGCUCUAAGCGUAGUAAUACUUCUCGCUACAGGGUCCCUGUGGUGUCUUGCCAGAACCCCUCAUUUUUUAUGAUUGACCUCGGAUCAGGUAGGGAUACCCGCUGAACUUAAGCAUAUCAAUAAGCGGAGGA